UGAGUGCUGGUCUGAACACAAUUCAGCACCCAUAUUUUGGGGUAUUCGACAUGCUUUCCAUGCCACCAGCGACCACGACAUCGUUGAUUCCCAGCUGAAUACUUUGAGCCGCAACAUGACAGCCUUCAUACCCGAGGAGAAAACUUUGUUGACGGUGGUACAUGGCACGGAGUUGGGCAAGCCGGCGCCAAGGGCUGCCUGCCCUGCCGGAGCUUGGCCGAGGUUGACGUUAAGGAUGUUGUCCACGAAAACCUCCUGCACGAGCGCCGGGUCGACCAAGAUUGUCGGGGAUGGGGCGGGAGAGGUUGUGGUCGCCGAGCUGGAGAUGAAACGCGCAGAGAAGAAGCCUCGGAACCGGGCACGGCGGCUGGACGCAGGGCGAGCCAUGGAGAUGGGCGCCGAGCUCCAUGGAUGCAGGGAGGAGGGAGGAGCUCGCUGGCUGGCUGGGGAUGGAGGAGGAGAAAUCCACGCGCGCCAUAGAAGGGCUUCGACAGGGCGUAGGGAGAGAGAGGAGCAGAGGCUGGGGGAGCACGACGCUGGGCACUUGAAGUCGCGUCGUUGGGGAGGGAGACAUCGGAGGGGAGGGAGAAGAUAAGCACACGGCGAGGAGAUGAGGCCAACGGCCGUAGGCGGUGAGAACAAAAAAAAUCAGACUUGAACGGCGGCAGAAAAAAUCGGAGUACGGCUGGGCGCUGUGGAGAAGAUAGGGAUGCGCUCGGCGAUGGAAAAAUCGAGCAGAGCCAAGGCGGCUGGACGAAGAUUUGGCGCGUAGAAGACGAGCUACAGGAGGGAGAUGGCAACGGCUGUAGAGGAGUGGCUGGG
RNAcentral lists this unclassified non-coding RNA (822 nucleotides) under Zea mays. Its description in RNAcentral is "misc RNA Zm00001eb131970". Lineage: Eukaryota; Viridiplantae; Streptophyta; Magnoliopsida; Poales; Poaceae. The record is from RNAcentral.